This 1736-nucleotide long non-coding RNA is filed under the name Homo sapiens (human). RNAcentral describes it as "HSALNT0302027". Lineage: Eukaryota; Metazoa; Chordata; Mammalia; Primates; Hominidae. The record is from RNAcentral.
CAGGAGGGGAAGGCUGGACAGGAAAAACCAUUCCCUUUUAUAAAAAGCAUGCAGGUUUUACAGCAAGUACCCUUCGCAUAGCAACCACCACUUAGCAGCCUCCACCUAGCUGAAAACAAUGGGCCUCAGUUCCUUGGACCACCUGCAUUCCAAGGCACACGCCAGGAUCCAGGUGUCCUUCACAGGUAUGGCAUAAACAUCAGGGUUGGCCAUUACUGGAACACUAAACAAACAUUCAUCAAGGAACACAGGAUCAUUCUCAAGCGUUCUAGAACACAACUACUAACUAGCUCGGCCUGGUACCACGGAUUUGUGCUACGGCACCAGGAGAGCAAAAUCAACACAGAAAAAAGCAAGAAAACUCAGAGAAAAAAUAAAACAAAUCUACAAUGAACACAUCAGUAUGUAUAUUUCUACAAACUUGUGUGAGAAGUUCUGUAAGAUCAAGUCCUAAAAGCAGAAUUGCUGGCUCAAAGGAUAUGAGUAACAUCAGCUGACUCGAAGUUAAGAAGAUUGGCCUCCACAAUCAGGGUGGGCCUCAUCCAAUCAGUAAAAGGCCCUAAGUGCAAAACUAAGGCUUCCCUGAAGAAGAAAUGUCCACCUAACAGACAGCCUCCCUGUGGAUUUCAGACUUGCCUAGCCAGCCCCAGCAAUUAUGUAAACCAGUUCCUUGCAAAAAAAAUCUCUUUAUAUGUAUAUAAACCUGUUGAAAAUUUUAUAUAGCAUAUAUAUAUAUGUAUAAUACAUACAUGUGUAUACAUGCAUACAUAUGUGUCUGUAUAUUUAUACACAUACAUAAUCUCCAUCUGGUUCUCUUUCUCGGGUAAAACACUAAUUGAUACACCUAUAGGGAUAGGUGAAUAGUAAGAAGUAUAAUUAAUAAUCUUUUGUUAGGUCUCAGUAAAACCUUUUUACUUUGCUUCUCAGAAAAUGAGAAUGCAAAGGGCCCUAAUGACUUGUUAAAAAACCUAAAUCUCUUCCAUGUCUGCUGGUUUCAAAUUAUCUGCUUCUAGCAAAACUGAAAGAAGACCUAAUUGAAUUGUCAGCUGCUAAAUCAUUAAAAAUCCUUUAUUGUCAAUGACUGCUAUAUGCUUUUUCAAACACAGUUGAGAAGAACAAAGAACUGACACCUUUAUAAGCUCUAAGGGCAGAGAUUUCGGUAGCUUUGUUCACCACUCAUCACCAGUACUUAGUAGAAUGUCCAGUACACAGCAGGAGCUCAAAAUACAUUUGGUAAAUGAAUACAUAGUAAAACUCCACCAUUCUGAUCUACUUACUUACAUGUAAAAAUUUUGUUAGAAUCUACAUGUAUAUAAAUCAAACAUGAGGAACAGAAUGAAAGCUAAACCUGUCUCAUUCUAGCAAUGAGGUAUAUUAUUUCAAGGAUUCAUUAAGCUAAUUGGAGUGAGAGGAAGCCCCACUAAGCUUAAGAUUUCCUAUGAAAAUGUCACACUUUUAGUUUUACUAAUUAUCAAAAAUUUUACAAUGUAUACUAUUAUUAUAAAAAUCCAAGGAAAAAUGUUAAGACUCUGAGCCUUAUGAACUCAGAAAAUGUAAAUAGUUUUACAUUUUAAUUUACAUAGGCAUUUCUGUUGCAGUGAUUCAUAAGAUAAUUAAUAUAAUUUGCAAGCAUAAAAAACAUUAGGUUAGUACACCAGGGACACCUGGAACCCCAGCACCUUAGGAGGCCAAGGUGGGCAGAUCACUUGAGGCCAGGAGUUCAAGACCAAUCUGGC